Molecule: ribosomal RNA, 490 nt
Filed under: uncultured bacterium
Lineage: Bacteria
Description: partial 16S ribosomal RNA
Rfam family: Bacterial small subunit ribosomal RNA
Source: RNAcentral
AUUGAACGCUGGCGGCAGGCCUAACACAUGCAAGUCGAACGGUAACAGGAAACAGCUUGCUGUUUCGCUGACGAGUGGCGGACGGGUGAGUAAUGUCUGGGAAACUGCCUGAUGGAGGGGGAUAACUACUGGAGACGGUAGCUAAUACCGCAUAACGUCGCAAGACCAAAGAGGGGGACCUUCGGGCCUCUUGCCAUCGGAUGUGCCCAGAUGGGAUUAGCUAGUAGGUGGGGUAACGGCUCACCUAGGCGACGAUCCCUAGCUGGUCUGAGAGGAUGACCAGCCACACUGGAACUGAGACACGGUCCAGACUCCUACGGGAGGCAGCAGUGGGGAAUAUUGCACAAUGGGCGCAAGCCUGAUGCAGCCAUGCCGCGUGUAUGAAGAAGGCCUUCGGGUUGUAAAGUACUUUCAGCGGGGAGGAAGGGAGUAAAGUUAAUACCUUUACUCAUUGACGUUACCCGCAGAAGAAGCACCGGCUAACUCCGUG